GUGCGGGUAACGUGGUGGUUAGCGCGCUCAAUAAACUUUAUCAGUGUUGCUUUUCCAGCGUUUAGCGAGAGGCCUGGGUUCGAAUCCCAGCCAGCCCA
Non-coding RNA from Immersiella caudata, 98 nucleotides. The record is from the annotation of a GenBank genome assembly. Lineage: Eukaryota; Fungi; Ascomycota; Sordariomycetes; Sordariales; Lasiosphaeriaceae.